RNAcentral lists this ribosomal RNA (1450 nucleotides) under uncultured organism. RNAcentral describes it as "SSU rRNA". It matches the Rfam family "Bacterial small subunit ribosomal RNA". The record is from RNAcentral.
GGCUCAGGAUGAACGCUAGCUACAGGCUUAACACAUGCAAGUCGAGGGGCAGCAUUUUAGUUUGCUUGCAAACUAAAGAUGGCGACCGGCGCACGGGUGAGUAACACGUAUCCAACCUGCCGAUAACUCGGGGAUAGCCUUUCGAAAGAAAGAUUAAUAUCCGAUAGCAUAUUGAGAUCGCAUGAUUUUGAUAUUAAAGAAUUUCGGUUAUCGAUGGGGAUGCGUUCCAUUAGUUUGUUGGCGGGGUAACGGCCCACCAAGACUACGAUGGAUAGGGGUUCUGAGAGGAAGGUCCCCCACAUUGGAACUGAGACACGGUCCAAACUCCUACGGGAGGCAGCAGUGAGGAAUAUUGGUCAAUGGACGAGAGUCUGAACCAGCCAAGUAGCGUGAAGGAUGACUGCCCUAUGGGUUGUAAACUUCUUUUAUAUGGGAAUAAAGUAUUCCACGUGUGGGAUUUUGUAUGUACCAUAUGAAUAAGGAUCGGCUAACUCCGUGCCAGCAGCCGCGGUAAUACGGAGGAUCCGAGCGUUAUCCGGAUUUAUUGGGUUUAAAGGGAGCGUAGGUGGAUUGUUAAGUCAGUUGUGAAAGUUUGCGGCUCAACCGUAAAAUUGCAGUUGAAACUGGCAGUCUUGAGUACAGUAGAGGUGGGCGGAAUUCGUGGUGUAGCGGUGAAAUGCUUAGAUAUCACGAAGAACUCCGAUUGCGAAGGCAGCUCACUAGACUGCAACUGACACUGAUGCUCGAAAGUGUGGGUAUCAAACAGGAUUAGAUACCCUGGUAGUCCACACAGUAAACGAUGAAUACUCGCUGUUUGCGAUAUACAGUAAGCGGCCAAGCGAAAGCAUUAAGUAUUCCACCUGGGGAGUACGCCGGCAACGGUGAAACUCAAAGGAAUUGACGGGGGCCCCGCACAAGCGGAGGGACAUGUGGUUUAAUUCGAUGAUACGCGAGGAACCUUACCCGGGCUUAAAUUGCAAAUGAAUAAUCUGGAAACAGGUUAGCCGCAAGGCAUUUGUGAAGGUGCUGCAUGGUUGUCGUCAGCUCGUGCCGUGAGGUGUCGGCUUAAGUGCCAUAACGAGCGCAACCCUUAUCUUUAGUUACUAACAGGUCAUGCUGAGGACUCUAGGGAGACUGCCGUCGUAAGAUGUGAGGAAGGUGGGGAUGACGUCAAAUCAGCACGGCCCUUACGUCCGGGGCUACACACGUGUUACAAUGGGGGGUACAGAAGGCAGCUACCUGGCGACAGGAUGCUAAUCCCAAAAACCUCUCUCAGUUCGGAUCGAAGUCUGCAACCCGACUUCGUGAAGCUGGAUUCGCUAGUAAUCGCGCAUCAGCCAUGGCGCGGUGAAUACGUUCCCGGGCCUUGUACACACCGCCCGUCAAGCCAUGAAAGCCGGGGGUACCUGAAGUACGUAACCGCAAGGAGCGUCCUAGGGUAAAACUGGUA